RNAcentral lists this ribosomal RNA (489 nucleotides) under uncultured bacterium. RNAcentral's name for it is "partial 16S ribosomal RNA". It matches the Rfam family "Bacterial small subunit ribosomal RNA", at positions 30 to 506 of the family's 1533-position model. The record is from RNAcentral.
AUUGAACGCUGGCGGCAGGCCUAACACAUGCAAGUCGAACGGUAACAGGAAGCAGCUUGCUGCUUUGCUGACGAGUGGCGGACGGGUGAGUAAUGUCUGGGAAACUGCCUGAUGGAGGGGGAUAACUACUGGAAACGGUAGCUAAUACCGCAUAACGUCGCAAGACCAAAGAGGGGGACCUUCGGGCCUCUUGCCAUCGGAUGUGCCCAGAUGGGAUUAGCUUGUUGGUGGGGUAACGGCUCACCAAGGCGACGAUCCCUAGCUGGUCUGAGAGGAUGACCAGCCACACUGGAACUGAGACACGGUCCAGACUCCUACGGGAGGCAGCAGUGGGGAAUAUUGCACAAUGGGCGCAAGCCUGAUGCAGCCAUGCCGCGGGUAUGAAGAAGGCCUUCGGGUUGUAAAGUACUUUCAGCGGGGAGGAAGGGAGUAAAGUUAAUACCUUUACUCAUGGACGUUACCCGCAGAAGAAGCACCGGCUAACUCCGU